This 253-nucleotide ribosomal RNA is filed under the name uncultured bacterium. RNAcentral's name for it is "partial 16S ribosomal RNA". It matches the Rfam family "Bacterial small subunit ribosomal RNA", at positions 524 to 776 of the family's 1533-position model. The record is from RNAcentral.
UACGUAGGGUGCGAGCGUUAAUCGGAAUUACUGGGCGUAAAGCGUGCGCAGGCGGUUCGCUAAGUCAGGGGUGAAAUCCCCGGGCUCAACCUGGGAAUUGCGCUUGAAACUAGCGAGCUUGAGUGUGGCAGAGGGGGGUGGAAUUCCACGUGUAGCGGUGAAAUGCGUAGAUAUGUGGAGGAACACCGAUGGCGAAGGCGGCCCCUUGGGUCAACACUGACGCUCAUGCACGAAAGCGUGGGGAGCAAACAGG